AAAAACUCAUCCUUGCCAGGCAAAUGGCAGGCACAGUACCCCAUGAGUAGCUUGAACAGGCAGAGACCACUCAGUCUGUCACCGUGUAUUACAUCUCCUUGGCCUGCAGUUCCCUCCUUCCUGCAGAGGACAGUCUACACAAACAGAACGAGACCUGGAACCUCACGGUCUGGCACAGAAGACCCUAUGCUAAGUAGAGCUGAUGCAGGGGAGAUGGGGUCCUCGUGGACACCCACCCUUCAAGCUGAAGAGAAGGCCGCACUGGGAACCAGAUGCAGUCAUCCCUCUAAUCCAGCCUGCUGCUUGCCCUGGGCUAACAUCUAAGAAACUGGCAUGGUGACGUAGGAGGGUGGGCUCCUGGCUCAGCAAGAGGGUACUGGAGGGUUUAAGCCCAGGCUGGCUCCCUCCGGCUCCUCUAAUGAGGAUGCAUGUCUGGCAUGGGGGCAAAUGGGAAUUUAAUCUGGUUUGAGUUUAAUGA
This 478-nucleotide long non-coding RNA is filed under the name Rattus norvegicus (Norway rat). Its description in RNAcentral is "long non-coding RNA NONRATT007721". The record is from RNAcentral. Lineage: Eukaryota; Metazoa; Chordata; Mammalia; Rodentia; Muridae.